Molecule: ribosomal RNA, 253 nt
Filed under: uncultured bacterium
Lineage: Bacteria
Description: partial 16S ribosomal RNA
Rfam family: Bacterial small subunit ribosomal RNA
Source: RNAcentral
UACGUAGGGUGCAAGCGUUGUUCGGAAUUAUUGGGCGUAAAGAGCUCGUAGGCGGUUUGUUGCGUCGGCUGUGAAAUCCCGAGGCUCAACCUCGGGUCUGCAGUCGAUACGAGCAAACUAGAGUGUUGCAGGGGAGACUGGAAUUCCUGGUGUAGCGGUGAAAUGCGCAGAUAUCAGGAGGAACACCGGUGGCGAAGGCGGGUCUCUGGGCAACAACUGACGCUGAGGAGCGAAAGCGUGGGGAGCGAACAGG